RNAcentral lists this ribosomal RNA (440 nucleotides) under uncultured bacterium. RNAcentral describes it as "partial 16S ribosomal RNA". It matches the Rfam family "Bacterial small subunit ribosomal RNA", at positions 338 to 795 of the family's 1533-position model. The record is from RNAcentral.
CCUACGGGGGGCAGCAGUGGGGGAUAUUGCACAAUGGGGGGAACCCUGAUGCAGCGACGCCGCGUGGGUGAAGAAGCGCCUCGGCGCGUAAAGCCCUGUCAGCAGGGAAGAAAGUGACGGUACCUGACGAAGAAGCCCCGGCUAACUACGUGCCAGCAGCCGCGGUAAUACGUAGGGGGCAAGCGUUAUCCGGAUUUACUGGGUGUAAAGGGGGCGUAGACGGCGAUGCAAGCCAGGAGUGAAAGCCCGGGGCCCAACCCCGGGACUGCUCUGGGAACUGCGUGGCUGGAGUGCAGGAGGGGCAGGCGGAAUUCCUAGUGUAGCGGUGAAAUGCGUAGAUAUCAGGAGGAACACCGGUGGCGAAGGCGGCCUACUGGACUGCAACUGACGUUGAGGCCCGAAGGCGUGGGGAGCAAACAGGAUUAGAUACCCGAGUAGUC